RNAcentral lists this ribosomal RNA (400 nucleotides) under uncultured Paenibacillus sp. RNAcentral's name for it is "bacterial SSU rRNA". It matches the Rfam family "Bacterial small subunit ribosomal RNA", at positions 987 to 1382 of the family's 1533-position model. Lineage: Bacteria; Bacillati; Bacillota; Bacilli; Caryophanales; Paenibacillaceae. The record is from RNAcentral.
UCCCCUGACAACCCAAGAGUAUUGGGCGUUCCCCUCGGGGGACGAGGGUGACAGGUGGUGCAUGGUUGUCGUCAGCUCGUGUCGUGAGAUGUUGGGUUAAGUCCCGCAACGAGCGCAAACCCUCGACCUUAGUUGCCAGCAUUCAGUUGGGCACUCUAAGGUGACUGCCGGACUAAAAGUCGGAGGAAGGUGGGGAUGACGUCAAAUCAUCAUGCCCCUUAUGACCUGGGCUACACACGUGCUACAAUGGGCGGUACAAAGGGUCGCGAACCCGCGAGGGGGAGCCAAUCCCAAAAAAGCCGCUCUCAGUUCGGAUUGCAGGCUGCAACUCGCCUGCAUGAAGCCGGAAUCGCUAGUAAUCGCGGAUCAGCAUGCCGCGGUGAAUACGUUCCCGGGCCUU